Molecule: ribosomal RNA, 436 nt
Filed under: Candidatus Anammoxoglobus sp. enrichment culture clone 13
Lineage: Bacteria; Pseudomonadati; Planctomycetota; Candidatus Brocadiia; Candidatus Brocadiales; Candidatus Brocadiaceae
Description: bacterial SSU rRNA
Rfam family: Bacterial small subunit ribosomal RNA
Source: RNAcentral
GAGCGGUGAAAUGCGUAGAUAUCAGAAGGAACACCGGCGGCGAAAGCGGCUCUCUGGUCCGUAACUGACGCUGAGGUGCGAAAGCCAGGGGAGCAAACGGGAUUAGAUACCCCGGUAGUCCUGGCCGUAAACGAUGGGCACUCGGUAGAGGGGUUUUGAAUAUCUCUCUGCCUGAGCUAACGCGUUAAGUGCCCCGCCUGGGGAGUACGGCCGCAAGGCUAAAACUCAAAAGAAUUGACGGGGGCUCGCACAAGCGGUGGAGCAUGUGGCUUGAUUCGAUGCAACACGAAGAACCUUACCGGGGCUCGACAUGACAGAAGUAGGAGUCCGAAAGGACAACCAACGGUAUCCAGUCCGUAGCUGUCACAGGUGUUGCAUGGCUGUCGUCAGCUCGCGUCGUGAGACGUUGGGUUAAGUCCCCUAACGAGCGAAACCC